GGUCCAAUUGUGAAGUGGUUCGCACCUGCAUCUGAUGGCUGGAGACCGCAUAUGUAUACUAUGCAGGAGACGCUCAUUCGACUCGGGCUUGGACCA
Non-coding RNA from Mycena vulgaris, 96 nucleotides. NCBI's taxonomy places the organism in Eukaryota, Fungi, Basidiomycota, Agaricomycetes, Agaricales, Mycenaceae. The record is from the annotation of a GenBank genome assembly.